Molecule: ribosomal RNA, 494 nt
Filed under: uncultured bacterium
Lineage: Bacteria
Description: partial 16S ribosomal RNA
Rfam family: Bacterial small subunit ribosomal RNA
Source: RNAcentral
GACGAACGCUGGCGGCGUGCUUAACACAUGCAAGUCGAACGGUGAAGCGCCUUCCUUUUUGGUGGGUGUGGAUGAGUGGCGAACGGGUGAGUAACACGUGAGUAACCUGCCCCCUUCUUCUGGAUAACCGCAUGAAAGUGUGGCUAAUACGUGAUACUCCGUGUCUGUCUCUUGAUGGGUCUGGGUAAGUGAUUGUUUCUGUGGGGGAUGGGCUCGCGGCCUAUCAGCUUGUUGGUGGGGUGGUGGCCUACCAAGGCAGUGACGGGUAGCCGGCCUGAGCGGGUGGACGGUCACACUGGGAGUGAGACACGGCCCAGACUCGUAAGGGAGGAGGAGGGGGUGAUUAUUGCACAAUGGGCGCAAGACUGAUGCAGGGACGGCGCGUGAGGGAUGGAGGCGUGCGGGUUGUGAACCUCUUUCGCCAGUGAAGCAGGCCUGCCUCGUUUGUGGGUGGGUUGACGGUAGCUGGAUAAGAAGCGCCGGCUAACUACGUG